This 400-nucleotide ribosomal RNA is filed under the name uncultured bacterium. RNAcentral's name for it is "bacterial SSU rRNA". It matches the Rfam family "Bacterial small subunit ribosomal RNA", at positions 355 to 752 of the family's 1533-position model. The record is from RNAcentral.
UAAGGAAUAUUGGACAAUGGACGAAAGUCUGAUCCAGCCAUGCCGCGUGAAGGAUUAAGGUCCUCUGGAUUGUAAACUUCUUUUAUUUGGGACGAAAAAAGAUCAUUCUUGAUCACUUGACGGUACCAGAUGAAUAAGCACCGGCUAACUCCGUGCCAGCAGCCGCGGUAAUACGGAGGGUGCAAGCGUUAUCCGGAUUCACUGGGUUUAAAGGGUGCGUAGGUGGACUUGUAAGUCAGUGGUGAAAUCCCGAAGCUUAACUUCGGAACUGCCAUUGAUACUACUAGUCUUGAAUAUUGUGGAGGUAAACGGAAUAUGUCAUGUAGCGGUGAAAUGCUUAGAUAUGACAUAGAACACCAAUUGCGAAGGCAGUUUGCUACACAUAUAUUGACACUGAGGC